GUCUUUGUGGUGUAGUUGGUUAUCACAUCUGUCUAACACAAAGAAGUCUCCAGUUCAAAAUUGGACAAAAACA
This is a non-coding RNA of Massospora cicadina, 73 nucleotides long. NCBI's taxonomy places the organism in Eukaryota, Fungi, Entomophthoromycota, Entomophthoromycetes, Entomophthorales, Entomophthoraceae. The record is from the annotation of a GenBank genome assembly.